Molecule: ribosomal RNA, 423 nt
Filed under: uncultured bacterium
Lineage: Bacteria
Description: bacterial SSU rRNA
Rfam family: Bacterial small subunit ribosomal RNA
Source: RNAcentral
GUGAGGAAUAUUGGGCAAUGCCCGCAAGGGUGACCCAGCAACGCCGCGUGGAGGAUGAAUGUCGUAAGAUUGUAAACUCCUGUUAGAGGGGAAGAAUAGUACCGGUUGGACCGGUAUAUGACUGUACCCUCAGAGAAAGCCCCGGCUAACUACGUGCCAGCAGCCGCGGUAAUACGUAGGGGGCAAGCGUUGUCCGGAUUUACUGGGUGUAAAGGGCGCGCAGGCGGGAUAAAAAGUCAGUGGUGAAAUCCUACAGCUUAACUGUAGAACUGCCUUUGAUACUUUUAUUCUUGAGUUCGGGAGAGAGAGACGGAAUUCCAGGUGUAGUGGUGGAAUACGUAGAUAUCUGGAAGAACACCAGUUGCGAAGGCGGUCUCUUGGUCCGACACUGACGCUGAGGCGCGAAAGCGUGGGGAGCAAACA